RNAcentral lists this ribosomal RNA (503 nucleotides) under uncultured Flavobacteriaceae bacterium. RNAcentral describes it as "bacterial SSU rRNA". It matches the Rfam family "Bacterial small subunit ribosomal RNA", at positions 547 to 1050 of the family's 1533-position model. Lineage: Bacteria; Pseudomonadati; Bacteroidota; Flavobacteriia; Flavobacteriales; Flavobacteriaceae. The record is from RNAcentral.
GGAAUUACUGGGCGUAAAGCGCGCGUAGGUGGUUUUGUCAGUCAGAUGUGAAAGCCCAGGGCUCAACCUUGGAACUGCACCUGAUACUGCAAGACUAGAGUACAAUAGAGGGGAGUGGAAUUUCCGGUGUAGCGGUGAAAUGCAUAGAUAUUACACAGAACACCGAUAGCGAAGGCAGCUCACUAGGCCUGGAUUGACGCUCAGGGACGAAAGCGUGGGGAUCAAACAGGAUUAGAUACCCUGGUAGUCCACGCCGUAAACGAUGGAUACUAGCUGUUCGUCUAACAUUGGUUAGAUGAGUGGCUAAGCGAAAGUGAUAAGUAUCCCACCUGGGGGUACGGUCGCAAGACUGAAACUCAAAGGAAUUGACGGGGGCCCGCACAAGCGGUGGAGCAUGUGGUUUAAUUCGAUGAUACGCGAGGAACCUUACCAGGGCUUAAAUGUAAGUUGCAUUAGUUAGAGAUAGCUAUUUCUUCGGACCACUUACAAGGUGCUGCAUGGUU